This 21-nucleotide small nuclear RNA is filed under the name Arabidopsis thaliana (thale cress). RNAcentral describes it as "snRNA_16056". The record is from RNAcentral. Lineage: Eukaryota; Viridiplantae; Streptophyta; Magnoliopsida; Brassicales; Brassicaceae.
GAGUCUCUUUUCUUAGGGUCU